Molecule: long non-coding RNA, 2168 nt
Organism: Eriocheir sinensis (Chinese mitten crab)
Lineage: Eukaryota; Metazoa; Arthropoda; Malacostraca; Decapoda; Varunidae
Exons: 4
Source: RefSeq, a predicted model, not a curated record
AAGAUCAUGAGGAAAAAAAAAAUGCUUCAAACAAUUAAAACAUAAUGCAUUUCAGGACUUGCACAGGGCAGUGUCAGCCGUGUAGUUCAGGACGUGACAGCUGUGUGGAGUGACAUAGCUCGACCAGAGAUAAAAAUGACCUCCGCGAUGCAUGCAUUGAGGGAAUCAGCAAUAGCUUUUGCAAGAGUUCGGAAUUUCCCUCGGGUUAUUGGUGCCAUUGAUUGUAAGAUUCAAAAUUAUUUGGGACUGACGAAUGAGCACAUAUGAUAUUGGUCUCAGUAAAAGUACAGGAAUAGAUUUACAAUUUGCCUAUCGCUAAAUAAUAUUUAUUUGCAUAAUGUUUCUCAAUGCCAUUAAGGCAACCCAUGAAAAUGAGGCUGCCUACGUGAACAGGAAGAGGUACCACUCUUUCAAAUUCAAGUUGUGUGUGAUGCUGCUGGUAUGAUCAUCAGCUAUUGUGUCAGAUUUCCAGGUAAGUGUUCUUGAUGAUAUCAUUUAUUGUUAGGCAUGUUAAUAGUUAAAUCACAAACAUCCCUUACCUGCUACUGUAUUUCUAAAGUUUGAUUUUUAGCAAGAAUAAUUGCAGACUAGCUAUUUAGGCAAUGGAACUUGAGCAUUUGAAGAUCGUAAGACUCCACCAGUGUUGGGGACACCAAACAUGCUACAGCUCUUCUUUUGAGUCAGAAAAUUUUUCCAGUAUUAACAUGUUCAUGUUCGGGAAUCCUUUUUUUUAUCCUCCCCUUUUUUGCAGGGUCAAAUCACGACUCCUUCAUCUGACACCACUCCGACCUUUAUGAACGCUUUCGCAGGGGCAAGUUUGGGGACUACCUGCUCCUUGGCGACAGCGGCUAUGCAUUAGAGCCAUUUUUAAUGACUCCAGUCCGCAACCCCACAACAGAACCAGAGGAGCUCUACAACAGGGCCCAUACACGGACACGUGUCGUUGUGGAGCAAACCUUUGGAAUUCUAAAGAUCCGGUUCUGGUGCCUUCACAAAUCUGGGGAUGCCUUGCAGUAUGCUCCCAUGAAGUGCCUCAACAUCAUCACUUCAUGUUUACUGCUGCACAACCGCUGUGUCCAGCGGGGUAUUCCACUUCCCCAACAGCUUGAAGUGGAUGAGGAAGAACAGGAUGCUCCUGCUGCCGUUCUUGGAGCAGCUGCUGGCAGAGGAGCUGGGAGAGCAGUACGUGAAGCAAUAAUUGCUAAUUUCUUUGGGUGAAAUGGUGAGGUGUGUAUUUCAUCGGUCACUCUUGAGUAAAAGCUCAGUAAGUUUGUCACACAUGAGCGCCCUUUUCUGGAAUCCAUACUGUUUACUUGUGAUUAAGUUAUGCUCUUCUAGAAAUCUCGUUCAUUGUAUCUUUAUCACUUUUUCACAUAUUUUACAUACUACACUGGUCAAUUAUACGGGUCUGUAGUUCAGGGGUUCUUCCUUCCUUCCACUUUUAUGUAUAGGGACCACUUCGGCCCUCUGCCCGGCCCUCUGCCACUCCUUAGGCACUGUACCAGUUGUUAUUGAACAUUUAAUGAUGUCAUCGAUCGAUGUGUGUGUGUGUGUGUGUGUGUGUGUGUGUGUGUGUGUGAGAGAGAGAGAGAGAGAGAGAGAGAGAGAGAGAGAGAGAGAGAGAGAGAGAGAUGAAUGUAUUAAAAUAUUUGUAAAUAUUUUUUCUUUUGAGACCUUACUCAAAGUCGGUUAAACAUGUGACAAUGUUCUGUAUUUUAGACUAAUUAAAAUGCACAUAGUGUACAAGUCUCUGUGAUUUUUCCUUGUGUGCUUGUGUUUGGGCCCCUGUGAGCAUGUUAUUGCAGUUUGUCUUCUGGUCAGCCCCUUAACAGUUAUUCUGCCAGUCACAAUUGAUCCCUGACACACACACCAAUAUUCAAGGAAUAAGAUUAUUUUAAGUUAUGGUAAAAAAUUAUUGAGCAACCCUCACAUGUAUAAAAAUAGUGAAUGGCAAAAACCAUUAGACUUAAACCAAUAAUAAUAAACUUAUUGUAAUAGUAUAAAAAAUAUAUAAUUAGAAACAAAGGAACUAAAAAUGAGAUCAAAAUAAAUGCUGCAGAAGGAUAUCCAGCAGGAAAGGAAUGUCAGUCCCAUGAGGUUCAGUUUAACCCGGAAGCAGCAGGGAUCAUGUUUCUUAAUGGUACCUCUAAGUAAGAAAAAAAAAAGAA